CACGUUGUGCGCCGCAGCGGGGUACUGGAACCGGAGCGCGUCGCCGGUGUAGAACCUGAUGGUGGAAGUCCAUUGGGUGUAGUUUGUCCGGAGGUCCCACGACCCGGCCGGUGCGCCGACUGUGUAGGUGGCGCCGAGCGCCGUGCCGAACAGCGCCGCUGCGAUCACUGCGGCAACAAGGAGAGCCCUGGUAGCAGCCGCCAUGGAUGAAUGCCGAUCGAGCGACUAGUAGCUCUAGCACUUGAGAAGAUGACCCACGAAGGGUUGGAUUGUUGAGAUGAUCGAGGGAUGUAAGAUCGAGGUCGCAGCUCUGGACUGGUUGUGUUGUAGCAUGAUGAUACUCUGCGAUAUAUACAGAUGAGAUGAGACGGUAGCUCGUUGAAUGCGUCAUACAGACUCUGUCAAAUUAGCAUUUGACCCACGCGUUGUUGUCCGGGUCGAUCUGGAAAUUGUAGCGCAUAAUUAAACUGUGGGCUCGUUGAAUAAUAAAGGAUGAGAAGCUGCUAGCCUACUGCUUGAUCGAUUCCAUACAUACGUACUGCAUAAUAAUCGGAUGCUUCAACCGUUACAUUUUUAUGUUCUAAAUAAUCAUCCGGAUCACCUAGGUUCACCAGGUUGCACAAUUUUUUUUAAUAACACAAAAAUUGUCAUUUUCAUUAAUUAUGGGAGAAGGUUUAGACAAACCGGUCCCUACUGCUUAACCGAUCUAUCAACGCUUCAACGCGCUAAUAUAAUGAACUAGUUGCGCCUGCCACUCAUAAUUUGUCAGAUUAUUAGUGGCUGACACUAGACUGCGUCCGACAAUAGUAUGACCCACCUAUAAGCCUUUCUUAAGUAGUGGUAACAGCAAUCAGUUUCUAAAAUAAUGGGUCUAUUAAAGGUGAUACCAAUAUAUAGCCCAACGAUUCAUGCCCUUAGCUUUGUUUCAUUCACACUGGUACACAAUCCAAUAUAAUCCUACGAGUCGAAGACACAAGGACAUCGCGAGAAGAAUUCCUGGCAACCACGCCCAUGCUUGCAACACUGAUGCUCCCCACAAAGUUAAUGUCAAUAUUGAUCUUUAUAUAAUCAAAAGGGGAGGCUCCCCGACUUCAAAAGUCCUUGUAGGAGUAGUGACUGGUUUUAACCCAGCCAUCAGCCUCUUACCCUUGACAUUUAGAAUUACCUUUGAAAUGGGAAGGCAUGCCCAGAACGACGACCAAUAGUUAUCCACAAAAUUAGCAUAGACAGAGACGAAUUCCUUCCCCUUUCCCAAAAUAAUAUCAUUUCUUAAGUGCCAAACUCUCCAAAAAAUGAUUAUGAUUUGCUCACGCAUCAGAGAGCUCAAUUGAUCAAACAAAAUAAGCUACCAUUCUGGCCCAAGAAAUUGAAGAAUUCUUUCCAUGGAGUAUUCCAAACAUCCUUCAACGCCAACAGAAGAGCCUUCGCCUUAGAGUAACUCACCAGGGCAUGAAAAACAUUUUUAUCUUCCAUACCACAAAUAGAACACAGACCAAAAGUAGCAUGCUGGUGCUUAACUCUCUUAACCCGGACUACCAGGCUAUUAGACGUAGCAUGCUAGAAAAAAAUUCUGAUUUUCUGAGGAACAUUCGCCUUCCACAUGAGUUCCAAAGCAUCCUAUCCCCAUUCCUUCGGCCACUUGAUUAUCCACAAUCAUCUGUACGCUCCUUGGGAUGCCGUGCCAAAUUGUAUGCACUUUGUCCGGAGAACAAACCAUUCUUUUCACGAUGCCACAUGAUAAAAUCACCAUCCCCCGAGCAUACAGUACGCAACUUUAGAGUUUCAUCCGCAUCAUGGGGUAGAACAAGUACUACUAUCAUGGGGGUAAGACAAAAUGACUUGAGAAAUAUCAACAUGGACUUACUAAUAUUCUUGAAUACAUUAUCUAGCGUGCAGUCUAUAAGAAACAUAUAUGUUAAAAUCUAGGAUUUUUUUUCUAAAUGUUGAUAAAUAAAUAAACAAGCUUGAGUACAUUACCCCUUCCGUGUCAUACCACGAUGAUUUUUCUAUGGAAGCAUUUAACCAUCUCAUUAGGGGCAUUGUGUACCAUCUCCUAUUCUACAAAGCAUAUGAGGAAUUCAAACACUUAUCACAAAUUCCAUUGGUGAGAAGCAUAUCUCAAUAGUUGCAGUGGCAAUGGGAAGAGUUAGUACUAGAUUUAAGAGUUGCUAAAAAGAAGGAUAAGAAAGAUGCUUAACACUACUAAUUUAGCCAUGUCAUUAAUAGUGUCUAUGCUGACAAAUCUUUUAUCAUUGUGUAUAUUAUCUAAGAGGCAAGAGCACUAGAGAUCCACAAACUUGCAUUGGAUGUGAUGGUUUAGUCCAGAAACUUGCAAAAGGUGAUCAACCCAUCCAUAAACUUGCAAACUAUGUGAUGGUUUAGUCCACAGCCAAUCAGACACGGACAAUUGGCGCCCAGCUGGCUGCUUCGUGGCACGCCUGGUCGGACCGGCUUUUUUGCGGAAAACCCCUCAACUUUCCAGGAAAUCACAAACCGCCCAGAGAUUGCUGAUGUUUGGAAAUGUAUCAGAGGCUCACAUAUCAAACAUGGUGCUGAUGCUUUGGCUCCUGCUGAUGAUAUUGUAGCUCAGAAAAUUUUUAGGUGUUUGCUCCUCGGGGAGUUGGCCUCAAUGUGCUCCGCCCAAGCUGUUGAGUCGGAUGAAUAGUGCAGCCCUCUCAAGAUUCUGAUGACAAAAAUUCAACUCCAGAUGAUGAAAGCAAUUGUGGUUGCUCGAACGGUGAGUCUGUUUGCACAGCAGGAACAGAUGAGCCACAGCGUAAUGGAGUGUUUAAAUCUUCAACUCUGCUUGCUCACUGUGACCGCGUCACAGGAUUAGCCAUUGGAGGUAUAAACACAACAUGGCCAGUGUACUGUGUACAUAAUACACUGUUUCAUUAUUGGAGGCAUCAUGCCAUAAUUUAGUACAAUCAUGCAAAACAUUUUGAUCUGGGCACCGAUGCAAUAUGCAAAAAUCUGGAAAGAAAUGAUAAUUAGGUCUAUGGAGUGUUAUAGUACCAUUCAAAAUUUCAACUUGUAACCCAAAAUGUGUUAGAAGAAAACAGUGUAUAAUUAUUUGAAUGAAACCUCCAUAGACAGAUUUAUUGUGUCAUUUGACAGAUUUAAUUUUUCAUUUCCAUAUCUUUGGACAUAGAUUAUAACUUCAAAUUCCAUAGUGUAGUGUUGAGAAAUAAAUCUAACAAUUUUUUUGCUGAAGUUUUAUGUUCAUUUUAUGCCGAAACCAAAAUGAAAUGCACAACUGACCUUUCUAUUACUCCCCCCGUUUACAAAUAUAAGACAUUUUAACUUUUUUGUGAACCGGAUGUAUAUAGACACGAUUUAAUGUGUUUGUUCGCUCAUUUCAGUCUGUAUGUAGUCUAUACUGAAAUAUCCAAAACAUGUUAUAUUUGUGAACGGAGGGAGUAUUUUGCAGUUCUGCUAGAUAUCCCACUUCAUAUACUUCCAGUGUUUUACUAUGUUUUUAUCCGUUGUGCUAUGUUAUUUGGUUUCUGUCCGUGGCCAUCGCUUGCCUUACCAUGCUAGUGGAUCUUCCUAAUGCCUUUGACCAGAAUUAUGACUCAAGUAAUCUGUGUUGAUGAAUCUUUACUGUAUUGCAGGGGGAUUCUUGUUUAGUUCUUCCUACGACAAAACAAUCAAUGUAUGGUCGCUGCAGGUAUGAAACUGUCGGUGUACACUCUUCUCUUGAUGAGCUGUUAAUUGUGUGAGUGUCAUUCUUGGAAUGAAUAGCAUGUUUUUCUUGUAGUGAGAAAUCACAGUGGCAUACAGCAAACACAUCCAUUACCAUAAAAUGCAUAACCUUUCUGUGACCCAUUUUUUGUGACUUGGCUUGCUUCUACAGGACUUCUCACAUAUGCAGACUUUAAAGGGUCGAGCACAAAAUCACAGCAAUUGUUGUGUUGACAAUGAUAACCAGUCUCUUUGUAUAAGCGGAGACAGUGGCAGUGGAAUUUUUGUCUGGCGUGUUGGUACCUCUCUGAAGCAAGAAUCAUUGAAUAAAUGGUAUGAAACUAAUGAUUGGAUCUACCGAGGUGUUCACUGUUUGGCUGUAUCUGGAACCGGUCAUCUUUAUACUGGUCGUAGAGACAAAUCUAUUAAAGCCUGACUUGCUUUUUCAGUGUCAUAUUGAAACAGGGUGGUUGGUUGGGUUGUAUUAAAAUUAUAGACAAAGUUGAGGAGUUUUUCGCAAAAAAGCCGACCAGGUGUGCCACGAAGCAGCCAGCUGGGCGCCAAUUGUCCGCAUCUGAUUGGUUGUGGACUAAACCAUCACAUAGUUUGCAAGUUUAUGGAUGAAUUGAUCAUCUUUUAUAAGUUUCUGAACUAAACCAUCACAUCCAACGCAAGUUUAUGGGUCUCUAGUGCUCUUGCCUCAUUAUCUAAUGUAGAGGCAAAAAUCCUGUUCAAGAUGGUCCAACAGGUCAUCACUGAAGUCAUUAGGACAAUACUUAGCCAACUUCACUAGAUUCUGAUCAUCAUAAUGACUAGAUUACUUGGAAUGAUAGCAACCAUACAAUGAAGCAACUAAUUAUUUACCUCAUUGAAUAUGCGAUUUAUUUCUUUUCCAAACAACCGACCUGAUGCUCAUUAUUAAUAUCUUAGCAAUGGCCACAACAUCCAAGUUGAGUUUGUGAGCAAAGCAAUGUCUAUAAUAAAGUUGAUCUGUUUUCUGUCAUAAUCUUGGCUUGUAGACCAUUAAACUCACCUACCAUGUUACUUGCUCCACCAUAAUCUUGUCCUGUCACUUGCUAUAGAUUCAAACCAAGCUCUGUAGUUAUAAAAUCAAUUUUACCCUUGAGUUAAUUAGAUGUUGUCUCCUCCACAUGAAUAAUUCGUACAAAUCUAUCAUUUGAUUCCCCACAUUUAACUACACAAUGAAGAACCACUACCACUUGUUGUUUGUGCGAAAAAUCACAACACUCAACAAUAAAUAAAUUGAACACACCAUGCCGAUCUCCUUCAAAAGACAACCCAACAUUUCUUCUGCAAAGCAUUUGGUAACAUCCCUUUGAAUGGCUGAAGACAACCAUAGAUAAUUAAGUAGAGCAUUUUUGAAUGCCUUGGCUCUACCAUAUUGUGAAUAGUAGUAUGACCACCAACGCCGUAUAGUCUCGUUUAUUUAUAGAAUCUUUUGACACAUCAUGGUCAUGGAAUGGUUGUCCUUGAUGCAACAAGUAUCUGCAUGAAUUCAAGCAUUCACCUGAUAAGAUGAUUUUUUUUACUCAAGUUUCCUUUCUUUGUGCAAGGCUGCAGGGAUUGAUUGAGAUGGUUGUCAAUAGAUCCCCAUAAAUUUUAAGUGACUUGUUGCAAAAACCGUCAUGACACCCGCAUUAACCGCAAAUCUCUCCAUUGCCUUAUUCCAAUUUGUUGGCGUAAAAUUACCUUAUUUUGAUUGACAUAGUCAUCUAUCACAAAUGCAUCAUGUCCUUGUUUGUUAUCAUUGAUAUUUGUUCAUGAAAAAAUAACAACACAAGCAAUAUGCCUUGUCCUCUACCUCUAUGUACUCUAGCCAAUUACUAGGUAGACCAUACCAAUCGGGAUUGAAAUAUGUAAAUUGUGUGUGAUAGUCUGACACUUCACAGACGAUUGGUUAAGUAGAACUGUGUGUAGGAUAUCACACACAAGAUCCCUCUAUCGAUCAUGCGAGAUGGACAAUUCAUCGCUCGCAUUUAGUUUCUGGGAAUACGGUUUUUAUUUUCCUAUUGUGUGCUUUGUCGUCAUCGCACACAGUUCGUCCAUAUCGUGUGUGAUUGGCUUAAUAGCCCCAUUGUGUAUUAGUGUAAUGGCGUUUCAUUUCAGUGGGCUUUUUGGACAAUGGCGUCAGCAAUGUGGGUCUUGGAUGUCGGGUCGGCGGCCCUGCGGGUGGUUUCGCGGUGCUCAUGGGCAGAGCCCAUGGCUUGGUGCUGCCCGGUGGCCAUGUCCGUGUGGGCGGCGUGGUAGCCGGGGUGUGGCGAUAGGUGGCGGUGAGUGUUGGCCAGGGUGAAAACCUGUUCUAUCUUCGAACGGACAGGCGGCGGCGGAGAUCGUUCCCUUCUUGAAGGCAUUGUCGCGGCUCUCGCUGCCCUUCGUGUGGCUCCAGGGGAAAUUCUGAUCUUCGGAUCGGGCGGUGGUGGCGCUUCGGUGGCGUAUCCUUUCUGAAGACACCGUCUUGGAGCCCACGGUUCGUCGUAUGCGGCUUCGUCUCUUCGCGAUAUUGCUAGGGGUGGUGUUGCUACACUCAGCGCCAAUGUAUCCUGCCUUGGGUGUGUGCAUGUGUUGUGGUGGCGUGUGUUUGUAUCGGGUGAUGAUGAUCUUUGCUUUAUAUAUAAAGCGGGGUGAAAGCCUUUUUUGGUAUGCUUGAUCUUUGACCUGAAUGGGGUUAUGCCAUAGAUGAAACCUAAUUUGAUUACUAGCAUAUUGAGCCCUCUGGUUGUUUCUCCACAAGGUCUCUCUAUCAGACCGCUUUGGCUAAAACUGGCCCGACGCAACUAACAAAAAUGUGGUCGAUCAAGCUGCCACUCAAAAUUUGGAUCUUUCAGUGACAAUUGAUUCAUAGUGGUCUUACUCUGGUCAAGAGGUCUUGAAGCGGAACAGUCCCAUGAUGACCGUUGUCCGCUUUGUGAGGUCAUCGAGGACAAUAACCACAUAUUAUUCACUUGCGUUACCACCUAAAUUUUUGUGGUGCUGCUUUCAUGAAAUCGUAGGAUACAAGGGGCAUCCUACUAAAACUCUUAGAAAACCAAUAGGACUAGCUCACGCAACACUCGUCGCUACCUUUGGGUUGGCUUUUGAUGUCCUUGACUAGACACUGACAAUUUACAAUAAGUCAUUGAGAAUGCUCAUCGGUGAAACUAUUGGUGCCAUUUAUAAACUUUGUGAUUUCUUGUUGUAUGGCGGGUCCUCAACAAGCAGCUGGAUAUAGACAUAUAGUCGCCAUUGGUGAUUUCACUGCUCAAUUUCGGGAUGGCUUGUGGCCUCACUCGGCCGUUGUUUCUUUGAUCUUGGUUGUAUCUCAUGGGGCCAACUUGUGUCUAUGUUCUAAAAUUAACAAAGAAUGGCAUAUGAUGCCAUGAAAUUGAUCCACUGUGUUUUUUCUUGGUAUUUACGGUCAACGAAAUGCCAUGAACUAAAAAAUAUUGAAUUACAAAUGAAAAAAGAUACAUUUGACUACAAAGAAUCUCAUGUGCACGAUCAAUCACACUUGAGAGAGGAGAAAGUCAUCACGGAAAGAAAGAGAAAUAUAAUUUUUUUUACAGAAAGUCCGUAUGGAGGUUGUUGUUGAUGACUAGUAGAGAAGCAUCAAACCACCCACGACGGCGGCCAGCCCGAGCGCUAGCACAGGCUCAGCCCCAGCCUGAGCCGCCGAGCUCGGCUGUGGCGUUGUCUGUGUGCACCGCUGCCUCGCCCCUCUCCCUCGGCAUCUCACUACCUUGGACUGGACGUUGACCUGUACCUUCAUGCCACCGGCGCAGUGCCCGGGCACGCCGCAGAUGAAGUACCGGGUCCCGACGGCGGCGAGCGGGAUGACGCCGUUGCCGCUCGGGAACGUGGCGACGGGACUAGAGCUGCUGCAGUUGUAGUAGGCCGUCCUUGUCACCUCCACCACGUUGUGCGCCGCAGCGGGGUACUGGAACCGGAGCUCGUCGCCGGUGUAGAACCUGAUGGUGGAAGUCCAUUGGGUGUAGUUUGUCCGGAGGUCCCACGACCCGGCCGGUGCGCCGACUGUGUAGGUGGCACCGAGCGCCGUGCCGAACAGCGCCGCCGCGGUCACUGCGGCAACAAGGAGAGCUCUGGUAGCAGACGCCAUGGAUGAAUGCCAAUCGAGCGACUAGUAGAGCUAGCACUUGAGAAGAUGACCCAAGAAGGGUUGGAAUGUUGAGAUGAUCGAGGGACGUAUGAUCGAGGUCGCGGCUCUGGACUGGUU
RNAcentral lists this long non-coding RNA (7915 nucleotides) under Triticum aestivum (bread wheat). RNAcentral's name for it is "long non-coding RNA (TAES_LNC016295)". Lineage: Eukaryota; Viridiplantae; Streptophyta; Magnoliopsida; Poales; Poaceae. The record is from RNAcentral.